AACAAGGUCUCCGUUGGUGAACCAGCGGAGGGAUCAUUAUCGAGUUAUUCAACUCCCAAACCCUAUGUGAACUUACCACUUGUUGCUUCGGCGCGCGCUUCGGCGCCGCCGAGGACACUUAAACUCUUUGUUUUUAUAAGCAUUUCUGAGUGGCCGAAAGGCAAAAAUACAAAUGAAUCAAAACUUUCAACAACGGAUCUCUUGGUUCUGGCAUCGAUGAAGAACGCAGCGAAAUGCGAUAAGUAAUGUGAAUUGCAGAAUUCAGUGAAUCAUCGAAUCUUUGAACGCACAUUGCGCCCGCCAGCAUUCUGGCGGGCAUGCCUGUUCGAGCGUCAUUUCAACCCUCGAGCCCGACUCUUUUGAGGACGGCUCGGCGUUGGGGGACGGCAGACUCCCCCCGGCAUCUCCCCGGGGACGCCGCCCCCGAAAUCUAGUGGCGGCCCUCCGAGGCGACCUCUGCGUAGUAACUUGUUCUCGCACCGGAAAGCUCAGAGCGGCCACGCCGUAAAACCCCAACUUUUUUCAGGUGGACCUCGAAUCAGGUAGGACUACCCGCUGAACUUAAAAAGGUCAAUAAGC
This 579-nucleotide ribosomal RNA is filed under the name uncultured eukaryote. RNAcentral describes it as "eukaryotic LSU rRNA". The stretch from base 182 to 335 matches the Rfam family "5.8S ribosomal RNA". The record is from RNAcentral.